AGCUCAAUCGGUAGAGCGUGAGACUCUUAGUCAUACCAAUACUGCGAUCUCAAGGUCGCGGGUUCGACCCCCGC
RNAcentral lists this transfer RNA (74 nucleotides) under Cryoendolithus antarcticus. Its description in RNAcentral is "Rachicladosporium antarcticum tRNA". It matches the Rfam family "tRNA", at positions 9 to 63 of the family's 71-position model. Rfam says of the family: Transfer RNA (tRNA) molecules are approximately 80 nucleotides in length. Their secondary structure includes four short double-helical elements and three loops (D, anti-codon, and T loops). Lineage: Eukaryota; Fungi; Ascomycota; Dothideomycetes; Cladosporiales; Cladosporiaceae. The record is from Rfam by way of RNAcentral.